This 497-nucleotide ribosomal RNA is filed under the name uncultured bacterium. Its description in RNAcentral is "partial 16S ribosomal RNA". It matches the Rfam family "Bacterial small subunit ribosomal RNA", at positions 28 to 507 of the family's 1533-position model. The record is from RNAcentral.
GAUGAACGCUGGCGGCGUGCCUAAUCCAUGCAAGUCGAGCGAACAGACGAGGAGCUUGCUCCUCUGACGUUAGCGGCGGACGGGGGGGUAACACGUGUAUACCGUCCUUCUUAGACAGGGAAAACUUCGGGAAACCGCAGAUAAUACCGGACAAUAUAUUGAACCGCAUGGUUCAAUAGCGAAAGACGGUUUUGCUGUCACUUAUAGAUGGAUCCGCGCCGAAUUAGCUAGUUGGUACGGUAACGGCUUACCAAGGCAACGAUGCGUAGCCGACCUAGGAGGGUGAUCGGCCACAGUAGAACUGAGACCCGGUCGAAGCUCAUAGGGGAGGCAGAAGUAGGGAGUCAUCCGCAAUGGGCGAAGGCUUGCCGGAGCAACGCCGCGUAGGGGACGAAGGUUCUCGGAUCGUGAAGCUCUGGUACUGGGGAAGAGCAAAUGGGUAAGUAACUAUGCACGUCUUGACGGUACCUAAGCAGAGAGCAACGGCUAACUACGUG